This is a long non-coding RNA of Mirounga angustirostris (Northern elephant seal), 6699 nucleotides long. RefSeq lists it as uncharacterized. The record is from RefSeq and is a predicted model, not a curated record. Lineage: Eukaryota; Metazoa; Chordata; Mammalia; Carnivora; Phocidae. The transcript has 4 exons.
CCUCCCGACCCGAGCGGCGGCGAGCGCGCUGAGCGCGGCGUCUCGGGUCCCGCUGGGGACUCACCGCGCGGCGGGCACAUGCUGAGCGGGCCCUGCGUGGACGCUGGGCCGGCGCUGGACGCGGACUGAGGGCGCAGCAGGCACUGUAAACUCUAGGAUCUAUAGAAGGAAGCACUCCAGAUUUCUGAUGAACAAGGUCCAUCGAACCAGGCAAGCCUCCUGCUGAAGAGAGGAUAGUCAUAAUUCUGAAGAACCAAGACCAACCGUGUAUGCUGACUGCUGUCCGGCCACCUCAGGACUGCCAGGUCUGGCACAGUGACCUUGGGUCCUGGCUCUCCCUGCAAAGAAUUCAUCACUUACAGUACUGUCCACUGAAGGCCGCCGGUCAGAGCUGCUGGAACACUGAGAAGUCCAGUAGAGGAAGGCUGCUCAGGUUCACACUCAAGUUCCAGACUCCAAUAGGGCAGAAAGAGCAAGUCAGUAUGUCAUCCCCCUAGAGGUUAAUGAUAAAACUAGACAGCAUUGUCAACCGCAUCCACUUCAGGGCUCUGGAAAUCGACCAGAGGCAAACAACAAAUUGAGAAGUGUUCUUUUCAUCCAGAACUGCUGUAUUUUGGUAUGAAGAAUGGGAAGAUAUGGCAUUCUUGCCUGGCACUGUCCCCCCACCACCCCCACUCCCGUCCCAGCUCAGUCAGUGCAAAGCUUCUAGUAGAAUGCGGCGAGCCGAAAGCACCCACGGCAGGUUUGCUGCUGGACAGAGCACAACUGAGUUCCAGCAAAAGGUGAAAAACACCUCCCAGUCAUGUCGUCAGGAUCUUGGCGGCAAGUGAAUGAGGGCGGCCAGCACUUCAUUCAGCAGAGGUUGUUGUCAGGUUGGAAAAAGCAAUCUUAUGGCCAACAAGCCAGAAAUUUCAUAGAGAGAUCUGGAAAUGAGACAAUCACUGAGGAGCUUGAAAAAUUCUCUACACACCUGCCUUCUGAGAGUGUGCAGUGUGGGAGCAGAGAGGAUCCAAGUUCUCCACACAUCCCUGGCGAACUGACACAACAGACUUGCAGAGGACAUGUGGAUGGGCAUGUGGGAAUCCUACUGGGCUGAUAGAAAUGUUCUAAAGCUGGAUUGUGGUGAUGUUUGCACAACUCUGUACAUUUACCAAAAAUCACCAAUUUUAUACUCCAGAUAGGUAAAUGAUACAUCAGUAAAGCUGUUAAAAAAAAAUACUUAGGUUCUAGUGAAUGACUCUAAAGAAUGUUGCUUGGAGAAUUUUCCUUUGGUAUAUUACGGCACUGCAAAACCAACUUCUGACAGAACAAAUGAGCUAUUUUUGGUAAGAGAUAUUGGUCACCUGCAAUGAUUUCGUCAGUCCAUCAUGCACUGCAUUAGAGCUUAGAAAGCGUUAACUUUCCAAGACCAUCAAUAAGCAAGACUCACUUGAAAACUAUAUAUUUAAAGAUGAAGAUGUGUGUUCUGAGACAUCAUGUGUCAACAUUGAUUGAGCACAGAGUUUGCCACAGAGGCUAGGAGGCAUACUACUUAAAUUUGACAGCCUUCAAAGGGUUUAUACUAUUACAAUUAUAAGUUGAUUUACAAUAGUAUGUUAAAGUUAAAUAUUAUAUUACUGUUACUGGGAUAGGGCUGGUAGAAAACGAGAUGUUCUUAAAAAAAAAAAAAAAAGGCGCCUGGGUGGCUCAGUUGGUUGGGCGACUGCCUUCGGCUCAGAUAAUGAUCCUGGAGUCCCGGGAUCAAGUCCCACAUCGGGCUCCCUGCUCAGCGGGGAGUCUGCUUCUCCCUCUGACCCUCCUCCCUCUCAUGCUCUCUGUCUCUCAUUCUCUCUCUCGCAAAUAAAUAAAAUCUUAAAAAAAAGAAAAGAAAACGAGAUGUUGCCAAACACAUCUGAUAAAUUAUAAAAUAUCUUCUUCAUUCGUUACUGCAUUUAAUCCUUGUAACAAUCCUGUGGGUAUUGCCAAAAGACAGGGAAACUGAGGCUCAGAGUGAUUCAGCAGCUUGUUCAAGAUCACAUAUCUUAUGCCAAAGCUGAGAUAUGAAUCCAGGUGGCUGAUUCUCAAGCAAAUGUUGGUGAAGAUCUGGGAUAACUGUCACUCAUACCUGGUUCAUUGGGGUGUAAAUUUGUAAAAUUUCCAUGGAAGAUAACUUGGUAAUAUCUAGCAAAUGAAAACUGCAUAUAUUCUUUGUCUUUGAAAUUCCACUUCUAGGAUGUUUGUGGUUCAGUAUAAAUGGCCAUCAGUAAUGAAUUAAUUAAAUAAACCUCUGUCUAGAAAUGGAAUACUAUACAGCCAUCCAAGGAUGUGUAUCUGAAUAUACUAAUACAGAAUAAUCUGCAAGGUAUAUUAUCAAAUUAAAAAAAAGCUGUUCUCCACACUUUUUAAAAAAGAUUUUAUUUAUUUAUUUGACAGAGAGAGACAGAGAGGGAACACAAGCAGGGGGAGCGGGAGAGGGAGAAGCACGCUUCCCGCCAAGCAGGGAACCCGAUGUGGGACUCGAUCCCAGGACCCUGGGAUCAUGACCUAAGCCAAAGGCAGACGCUCAAUGACUGAGCCACCCAGGCACCCCUGUUCUCCACACUUUUUUGUAUUUUUUAAAAGGGACUGGCUACCUAAAGAGACAGGGAGUUGUGGAUACUAUCAUAAAACCAAUUAUACAAUUUUAAACUGAGGUCUGUGGUUAAUUAUUUUUAUUUUUUAAAAAUUAUUAUUAUUAUUUUGAUUUUCCAUAGCAAGAUUUUAUGCAACAAAGUGGUUAUUAAAAAGCUCUGCACAUAUAUUAAGUAUUUGUUUGUUUUAUUAUUAACAUAUAAUGUAUUGUUUCAGGCGUACAGGUCUGUGAUUCAUCAGUCUUACACAAUUCACAGCGCUCACCAUAGCACAUACCCUCCCCAAUGUCCAUCACCCAGCCACCCCAUCCCUCCCACCCCCCACCACUCCAGCAACCCUCAGUUUGUUUCCUGAGAUUAAGAGUCUCUUAUGGUUUGUCUCCCUCUCUGGUUUCUUCUUGUUUCAUUUUUUCCUCCCUUCUCCUAUGAUUCUCUGCCUUGUUUCUCAAAUUCCACAUAUCAGUGAGAUCAUAUGGUAAUUGUCUUUCUCUGACUGACUUAUUUCACUUAGCAUAAUACCCUCUAGUUCCAUCCAUGUCAUUGCAAAUGGUUAAGAUUUCAUUUUUUUGAUGGCUGCAUAAUAUUCCAUUAUAUAUAUUAUGUGGUUAAUUUUUAAAAAAUAUUUAAUUUAUUUAUUUGAGAGAAAGAGGGAGAGCAUGAGUGGGGGCCAGGGGCAGAGGGAGAGGGGGAAGCAGACCCACCCCUGAGCAGGGAGCCCGACACGGGCAUGGGGCUUGAUGCCAGGACCCUGAGAUCAUAACCUGAGCCGAAGGCAGACACUUAACCAACUAAGCCACUCAGGCGCCCCCAUGAUUAAUUUUUAACUAGUGUCUGUGGUUUCCAUAUUUACAAAUGGCAAAAUAGUGAGCUGUUGACUAGGAUAUGGGAUGGCCUCAUCGUAUAUAAGUGAGUGUUUCUAUGGUAUUAGUUAAAAGGGAUUUUUCCUAGUCUUUUAAGCUCUUCUCUUUUCUGACUUGGCCUAUCCAAAUCUUCAGAGUUAGAAGGAAACUUAGAAACUGUGUGGUUCAAUACUUAUCAACAGCAGGUCACAGCCUCCCAGUGAAUUCUGAAAUUAAAUUUGUGGGUCAAAACUAACAUUAUUUCAUCACUAAAAAUUAAAAAAAAUAAAUAAUAUAGACUAAAACCUUAUGGAUAAGGAAAUGGAGGCUCUGACAGGCCCAGUGACUUGCCCAAGAUGAGUAACAGGGCUCGAAUUUCUACUCUUGUGUCCAGACUUACAGAUUCCUUUUUUGUUUCAUCAUAUUUUAUAGAUGUUUCUGUUGCCAGGGUCACUGAAGGACUUUAAAGAGUGGAAAGGGACUUCCCUCUGGUAGUGGCAGCAGUGACUUCAAGGACUUACCCCAGAGACCUCAGAACAGAAGCAACUGCUUUUCCACUUGAACUGUUAUUUCUCUGCCUGAGGGAAUCUUCUUGACCAGUGAUCCUGCUAACCCUUAAUGGGAAGUUUGGCCUCUGGGCUUCUUUAUAGAUAUUAAAUUCACAGUGAAACCGUGUAAGAAUCCCAUUCAUUAAAAAUUUCAUUCAUACUCUCCAAGCUGAAAACAAGAAACCACAUUUUGGAUUAUAUGGAUAGCCACUCUCAGUGACCCAACUGACCAGUUGUUUCUGUUAUGAUACAUUAUUCCUGUGAAUUCCAAGGGGAUUAAUGAAAUAGAAACAUUUUCUUAUUUCACAUUUCAUGUAGAUGCUAAGGCUUUGUUGGGAGGUUACUUGGUUAUGGAGCAGGAAUAUUUCUCAGUGGAGGCUGUCAAGUUGGGCUAUGUUAAAGGACACUGGAUGUAGAAUUUGCCUGGAUUGGAAGGAUCUAGAGUUUCCACUGGCCACAAAUACAAGACCUAUCGCUGACUAGAUUCGUAACCUUGACAAGUCACUUUGCCUUUCCAGUCUUCAUUUCUCUUCUUGAAGAAAAGGUGAAGUGGCUUUUCUGUGCUGAGGGUCCAUAUGAGGGUCCACAUUGUUCUGGGUCCCCAUGGAACUUAAAGGGAAACUUCCACAAUGUUCAGAGCCCUUGGCAUCCUCCUGCGAUGGGAGGAGGAUGUCCUGUAAUUCCUUGCAGCAGGAACCCACUUAGGUGGCACCAACCCUGACUUCCAAAUGGAACAGCACAUACACAAAAGGAAAAGCGAUGGCGUAUUUCAAAUCUGGAGAGAUCUUAUGAGAAGCUUCUGCCAGCAGCUGGUGCCGUUGUUGCCAUCAAAAACCGGGCCGCUGUCAGUGUCAUAUCCGCCAGGCCCAGGGGCCCGGGGGCUGUGCUCAAGUCAGCUGCUGCCGCGGGAGCCACUCUGCUUGUGGCCGCUUGGCUCCCGGAACCUUCGCUAACCAGGGGCUGGCGGCCUGCAGGGGGCUGUGUCUCCCGGUGGUUAGGGAUCCCCGGGCUGACCACCAGCCCCUCACAGAGAGGUCUUCUGUUAACCGGCCUGCUAUCGCUUUGGGUAACCGGACUCUCCUCGGCGCUGUGUGGACGCGGCCACCCGAACAGGGCGGGGCUCGCGCAGUGGGUCGGGGGCGGGGGAUGCUGGCCCGGGAAGUUCUGCACACGCGUGGCACCAUCGCUCGUGAACCCCCAGGGGAGGCCACCCCUCAUCUCUCCGGGAAAGGCCGUGACCGAGGAGGACUUUCCGGGCGAACGGGCUGCCCCAGACCCCGAAUUUACUGCUGCUCAGCCUGAGGUCUCAGCUGGUGCGCACGUGUCCUGCAGUUCCCUACGGAAGACUGGAGCUCCCAGCCGCGGCUCAGGACUGCUCUGCAGCUCCCACUGCUCAGGCCCCUCGGUGGGUAGGAACAACCCCUGCGUGAUCCUAAGCUGCUCUUCCACAGACUCUUAAACAGAAAAUGGAUAUAAGGUUGAUGGAGAAUAAACAGUUUCCUAAAAAAAAGUAAAGGAGAAAUGGGAUCAAGUGGUCACUAAGUUUCCUUCUGAAUCUAAAACUGCCGUGAUUUUGUAAAUGACUCUACAGUGGUCCUCAUUUAAAGGACAGUUUAUCAGACAAUUAAUUAAGCAAAUAUGUAUGGAGAGCCCGUGUGUGCCUGCACUCCACCUGGAGCUGGGGAAACGGAGGACGGAGGUCACAGCGCCCGGCCCUUGCAGGCUACCGGGAGACAUGACAGCUGUGUCCCAGGGGCCGCAAUGGCCUGAGCUUUCCAUUUCUGACUCUGUCAUGAUCAUGUCCCUAGUUUGCUCACUGUAAAAUGGAGUCAAAUUCCGAUAACUUCCUGUCUAUCUCCUCUACUAGCACAAAGGACCGUCUCUUUUAUUGGUGGUUGUAUCUCCAGUAACUGGAAAAAUACCCACCACAUCGUUGGUGAUUGAUGUACAAGGUGUAAUGAUGGGGCACAGAUUUGAAGGAUAUAUUUAAAAGUGGUAGAAGAAUGAGCUCAUACAAUGGUCUUCCAACAUCAGUAUGCAAAUCCCAAGAAAGUUUACAAAGACUUUCCAUGACAUGGGCGGGGAUUGAUAGCUUUAGGGGUAUCAAUCAACUUCCACACGAACCAUUUCUCAAAGUGGAUCUGCCUGGGAACUGCUGAAAAAGUUGUCCUGCUGGGAUUUCCCCCAUCUUCCCUCUUACAAGCUUCUCUUACUCAAUAAAUUAAUGACUUUUCUCCCAGUCUUACGGAGAUGCUUUCCCCCAGGUGGUAAAAAGCACCUGAGAAGAAAUGCCUGGUGGUAUAGGGGUGGGUUUAAGACAGUAAAUGGCUCUAAUGACUGACUAAUACAUUUUUGCAAGCCAAGUGGUCUCCAAUUCUUUCGUCAACAAAAUUUAAGUAGAACCUAAUGGGUUGUCACCUGAUAGAUGGCUAAAAAUAAUUUUUCAUGGUGGAUCAAUCACAAUGUGAUUUUUGGCAUGUACUUCACAGGGAACUCACAGAAUUGAUUGACAUUGCUGUAACAAGACACCUUCCAUUUCCACCUACUUGUUUAUGAACGGGGUUUCUCAAGCUUUACAUCUAUAAAAACAAAAAUGGAAAUAGAAAUGAUGGCAAACUCUUGUCUUAUUCUGUUAAUAAGUAAUAUUCAUUGAAUACAUGAAUGAAUUGGAAAUGAAAACAAGCUCCUCUCAAUAAAAGGUGC